This 497-nucleotide ribosomal RNA is filed under the name uncultured bacterium. RNAcentral describes it as "partial 16S ribosomal RNA". It matches the Rfam family "Bacterial small subunit ribosomal RNA", at positions 28 to 507 of the family's 1533-position model. The record is from RNAcentral.
GAUGAACGCUGGCGGCGUGCCUAAUACAUGCCAGUCGAGCGAACAGACGAGGAGCUUGCUCCUCUGCCGUUAGCGGCGGACGGGUGAGUAACACGUGGAUACCCUACCUAUAAGGCUGGGAUAACUUCGGGAAACCGGAGCUAAUACCGGAUAAUAUAUUGAACCGCAUGGUUCAUUAGAGAAAGACGGUUUUGCUGUCACUUAUAGAUGGAUCCGCGCCGCAUUAGCUAGUUGGUAAGGUAACGGCUUACCAAGGCGACGAUGCGUAGCCGACCUGAGAGGGUGAUCAGCCACACUGGAACUGAGACACGGUCCAGACUCCUACGGGAGGCAGCAGUAGGGAAUCUUCCGCAAUGGGCGAAAGCCUGACGGAGCAACGCCGCGUGAGUGAUGAAGGUCUUCGGAUCGUAAAACUCUGUUAGUAGGGAAGAACAAAUGUGUAAUUAACUAUGCACGUCUUGACGGUACCUAAACAGAAAGCAACGGCUAACUACGUG